This 370-nucleotide ribosomal RNA is filed under the name uncultured eukaryote. RNAcentral's name for it is "partial 18S ribosomal RNA". It matches the Rfam family "Eukaryotic small subunit ribosomal RNA", at positions 592 to 976 of the family's 1831-position model. The record is from RNAcentral.
CAAUAGCGUAUAUUAAAGUUGUUGCAGUUAAAAAGCUCGUAGUUGGAUUUCUGGUCGGAAGCUCCUGUCCUCUGAUGAGCGUACAAGUGCGUCCUACCAUCCUUCUGUUAACCUUUAAGGCUUUCGCGGCUUUCUAGGGGCCCAGAUAUUUUACCUUGAGAAAAUUAGAGUGUUUCAGGCAGGCUAGCGCCGGAAUACAUUAGCAUGGAAUAAUGGAAUAGGACUUUUGCCUCUUCUGUUGGUCAUGAGGCUCGAGUAAUGAUUAAUAGGGAUAGUUGGGGGCAUUAGUACUUAACUGUCAGAGGUGAAAUUCUCGGAUUUGUUAAAGACUAACUUAUGCGAAAGCAUUUGCCAAGGAUGUUUUCAUUAA